GACGUAGGGCGCAAGCGUUGUCCGGAUUUAUUGGGCGUAAAGAGCUCGUAGGCGGUUUGUCGCGUCGGCUGUGAAAACCUAGGGCUCAACUCUGGGCUUGCAGCCGAUACGGGCAAACUAGAAUCGGUAGGGGAGACUGGAAUCCUGGUGUAGCGGUGAAAUGCGUAGAGAUGCGGAGGAACACCGAUGGCGAAGGGCAGCCCCCCUGGGCUAACCACUGACGCCUCAGGCACGAAAGCGUGGGGAGCAAACAGG
This 255-nucleotide ribosomal RNA is filed under the name uncultured bacterium. Its description in RNAcentral is "partial 16S ribosomal RNA". It matches the Rfam family "Bacterial small subunit ribosomal RNA", at positions 524 to 776 of the family's 1533-position model. The record is from RNAcentral.